This 253-nucleotide ribosomal RNA is filed under the name uncultured bacterium. RNAcentral's name for it is "partial 16S ribosomal RNA". It matches the Rfam family "Bacterial small subunit ribosomal RNA", at positions 524 to 776 of the family's 1533-position model. The record is from RNAcentral.
GACGGAGGGUGCAAGCGUUGUUCGGAUUGACUGGGCGUAAAGGGUGUGUAGGCGGUUGGUCAAGUCCGAUGUGAAAGCCCGGGGCUCAGCUUCGGAAGUGCAUCGGAAACUAGCCAGCUGGAGCGCGAUAGAGGAGGGCGGAAUUCCUGGUGUAGCGGUGAAAUGCGUAGAUAUCAGGAGGAACACCGGCGGCGAAGGCGGCCCUCUGGAUCGUUGCUGACGCUGAGACGCGAAAGCGUGGGGAGCAAACAGG